This 253-nucleotide ribosomal RNA is filed under the name uncultured bacterium. Its description in RNAcentral is "partial 16S ribosomal RNA". It matches the Rfam family "Bacterial small subunit ribosomal RNA", at positions 524 to 776 of the family's 1533-position model. The record is from RNAcentral.
GACGAACCGUGCGAACGUUGUUCGGAAUCACUGGGCUUAAAGGGCGCGUAGGCGGGCUGUCAAGUCUGGGGUGAAAUCCCGCGGCUCAACCGUGGAACUGCCUCAGAUACUGACGGCCUCGAGGGAGGUAGGGGCGUGCGGAACUGUGAGUGGAGCGGUGAAAUGCGUUGAUAUUCACAGGAACUCCGGUGGCGAAGGCGGCGCGCUGGACCUCUUCUGACGCUGAGGCGCGAAAGCUAGGGGAGCAAACGGG